GGCCUAGAACCUUGAAAUUCCAGGCUGAGUGGCAGGAUUACUGCCUUUUGGGUCAUAUCCAUCGUUUCUGGUGUUCUGGUGGCUGAUGAGGCUGGGAGUACAAAGGCAGUGAGGAAGCAUUUCCAUCCUCCACCAUUCUGGUGGCCUCAAAUCCACACCAGCUGUCAGGACCACGAAGCCCUGGGUGUGCCUGUGACGAAGGGCUUAGGCCUGGGGAGCCCCGUUCACCCUCCUGCAUCUUCGUCUGUGUUCCUGGUACUGCUGGUUGUUGGCUGUGUCAGGGGGAAACAAAAAUAAAGGCAACCUUGAAUCAAGUCCUCACCAUCAUUCUCAUCACCCUCCUGGACCAGGCUCUGCAUUCUGGGCCAGUAAAGAUGCUCUCUUGGGUAUGCAAACAAGUGUGUAUUCAAAUGAGCAUAUAUGCAAAUGAGUGUUAAUGCAAAUGAGUGUUUGCUUUCUCUGUCUCUCACACUAGGCUGAGCAGGGGCUUCGGACUUACCCCAGGACCUAGCACAGCACUUGGCACAUCAAAGUACUCAGCAAGCAUUCACUGGGUUGACAUGGCUCUAACGCAGAUCCCAAGGGACCUGAUGUCGAGCAGUCAGCAUAACCUUUUCAUAGUAGGAGAGGUGGUGUGAUUCUUAUCUCCGUGGAACCUCAGCUCGGAAGGAUGCAAUGAUUUGCUCACUCUGGCCAGAGACCUCGGGAGCAUGAUCUUAUUUGGAUCCGAUUUUCACCAGAACGCCGAAAAUUUCAUACUGAAGGCACGUGCACAGUUGCUGUAAACGCCGGCGAACUUCAAGGUGAAGUAACUCCCCUGUACAAUCGCAAAUGCAAAUGUGUAAAGCUACUCAACAAUUUUCCCCUUGCAGCUGCCCAUUUUAUCUCUUGCAAAACUAGUAAUGAUACAAGCAGUUGAUUAUGGUUUACAAUAGCAAUAAACCUCUCAGAAUUGGUUGUUUCCAAAAUAAAUAGCCAUUCUGUUAAAUGUUAAAUAACAAGUCAUAAACUGCUGAAAACAACCAAUUUCUUGUGGAUUAUUGCCUGAAUAAAUUUCAGCAGGAACAGCAGAUCAUUAAGCUGUGAACGCCACAGAUCAAAAUCAUUGAAUUUUUUUAAAAAAUCAAUCAAUUAACUUAAAUCCAUCAAAACGAACUCCCCUUUUGCAAACCAAAUCACACUACAUAUUUUAACAUGAUCUUUGCAGCUUCUCUUCUGCUGAUCAUGGUUAGCUCGAUUCUUGCCAAAUCCUUCCAUUGUUUUUCAGAGAUUGAAGAAUACCUAACCCGAUGGUCAGAUUGGCCAUUCUGAGAGCAUGCAAUUUUCCUCAGCUGCAUUUUCUAGAAGUCUACGAUAUUCCAAUUGAUAAAACACAGACCUGUCCACUACAUUAAACAUUUGAGUCAAGGCUCGGUGGCAAAUAUAUUCAAACCACAGCUCUAACAGAGACUGUUCUCAUAAGAGGAGCCAACUUCAUCGGGAUGAUUGACAGAAUACUCUUCGCCAUAGCAACCAGGGUUAUCUCUCUGGAAUAACAACAUUAACCUCCUUCAUAACCAGCUUUUCAUCCUUCAGUAUAAAAGGCAGCUGCAUGCAUCUUGUAUGAUCUUUUAUUUUUAUUUUUGAAUGAACAGUUAGCACUUAAGUAAAAAUAGGACAAGAUGCAGCAAAACCAAAUUAAUUGUGAAUUUCUCCUGAAAAAAAAAAAAGCAUUACAAUGGAUCUUAUAGGCAGAACAGUUAAAGGGCAGGAAGGGUUUCUGUCUCUUCUGAGCACAGGGCAAUGGCAGGGAGAUUUCUAUUCAUCCGCUGCCUCUGAAAUGGUCUAGUGCAUUGAUUUGCUUUGUGUUGUUGUGGAGGGGUGAGGGUGGGGAGGAUGCAAGGAAUUUUUUCAGAUUUUAUUCCUGCCUUAUUUUUUGUCCUCAUGACUCCUAAUACACACAUGCACACACACACACACACACACACACACACACACCCUUCGAUGUGCUCAUGUGCAAAGCAAAGAAUGGUCUGUGGGAAAGUGCAUAUUCUACCCGGGAAAAAUAUCACCUUUCUGAAAGAAAUUGCUAAAUGGACCCCAACCCCCCUGCUCUGUCUCCUGUGUAAUGUUUUGUGCAAGCUGUAGAUAUCAGUGUCUUCAUAUGCCAAUGAAGCAUCUCACUAGCCCUUCACAGAGAUGCCGUGCCACGCCAUGGCCUGAUUUCUAAUGCCAGUCUCUGCAAGUGACAAGUGUGGCACUCAAGCCUCGAGGAAUAAAAACUGUGUGUGACAAGGAAAGACAGACCAUAAACCUGGAUGGGCCACUGCCAGCCACGCUGUGUUCUCCCCGCUCUCCUCCCAUCUCAGAUGCACUCCCCACUGGGGGCAACGUCAUUGCAACUGCUGCCUUGAAAGGUUGAGCCACCUUUCCUGAGGCUUCUGUAUCACUCAAGGUCACAAUCUCGAAGCCUAAGGCCCCAGGUGUAACCUUGGAGAACUUCAGUCCUCUGCUGAGGAAGAGGCUGGGCAGGGAAAAGGUGACUCCCGACCCAAAGCAAGAGGAGUGUGGGAACGUGGUAUUUAAAGAGCAAAGCAAUGGGUGAGGGGCUCGGAGGGGCAGCAGGCAGGCAGGCAGCAGCAGAACCACUCCACAAGAUCUCUGCCUGCUUUGGAUUCAAUUAGCCAAAAGGCAUGGCCAGUGGAUUUCAAAAGGUGGUCUGUGAAGCAAUUUAAUAUGAGGUUUUGAAGCAGGAAAAACUUUUUAAGACCUCCUUGUGUUGGACAUGAGUGUUGAGGGUCACCUCAUUUCCACAGGUGCUGCCCACCCUGCCACCCCAACACCCACCAAGAGCAUCUUUACAUUUGCCAAGCUCUGGGACUCCCUGAAACCCAAACUGAGGCCCUGAGUCUGUGUGACCCACAGCCCACAGCUGAACACGCUCACUCCAGCUGGCCCUUCCCACUCCAGGGUUUAGGUAAAAUGCCACAGUCACAAGUAGCUCCCGAGGGACCAGAUGACACCAGAUGACACCCAGAAAUGCAGGGUGUAGCUGGAGGUGAAAGGUUCAUUCCUUCUGCACCCUGAGGUACAAUGUAUCCUGGCAAACCUUCUGCAGAAGUCCCACGGGCUGAGGGGACACACUCGCAGAGAGGCUUGUGUCUCUGGCCACUCACCAAGAAGCAGUGUCCAGGACAGCACCAUUGCAUCUCCUUGACUCUCGUUGUUCCUGCCUUUCUUCCUCUUUUUUUCUUCACCCUCACCUCUCUUGGGUUUCACAUUCAAAAUAAAGUAGCUGUACUGUAA
Long non-coding RNA from Lemur catta (Ring-tailed lemur), 3285 nucleotides. RefSeq lists it as uncharacterized. The record is from RefSeq and is a predicted model, not a curated record. Lineage: Eukaryota; Metazoa; Chordata; Mammalia; Primates; Lemuridae. The transcript has 3 exons.